GCCCACGUAGCUCAGUCGGCAGAGCAACGCCUUGGUAAGGCGUAGGUCACCGGUUCAAGUCCGGUCGUGGGCUCCA
RNAcentral lists this transfer RNA (76 nucleotides) under Chloroflexota bacterium. Its description in RNAcentral is "Chloroflexi bacterium (hot springs metagenome) tRNA-Thr". It matches the Rfam family "tRNA". Rfam says of the family: Transfer RNA (tRNA) molecules are approximately 80 nucleotides in length. Lineage: Bacteria; Bacillati; Chloroflexota. The record is from RNAcentral.